UCCAUCAAAUGUUAUAAGAAAUAUAAGUAUUAAAAAAACGUAACUUAAUGUUACAUUUUUUUUUGUCUGCAAUUACAAUGACAGCGAGAGAAUAAGAACUUAUGAAUGUAGACAUUUUUUGCACUUUGGUCUCUACAGCAUAUGUGAACUCAUCAAAAGCGGAGGCAACAAGGAGGGGAUGGGAUUAUCAGCAGCAUCGGGGUGGAGCUUCUCGGCAACGUUGAGGAUUAUCACCCCAAACACGUGAUUCCUCCUCCGAUUUGUAACCCGGAGCACGUCCUCCACAAAACGUAGCGGCGGGCCACGUUCGCUCUCGAUGGUGCUUGUUCACUCUCUACGCCACCUCAUUGUCAAAUCUGAGUGUCUUAAAACCAUUUUCGAUGGUGUGUACAAGUCAGAUCUGAGUGUGUGAGGUGGGCGACGGUGAUGUUCAAAUCUGAGCGUGUGGAGCUAGGCAGCAAUAUUUUGUUCAGAUCUGAGUUUGUGCGAGAUGGGCAACACGGCAGUGUUCGGAUCUGAGUGUGUGCGAGAUGGGAGUGUGUUCACUCUAUUUUCAAUUUCUUUUUGCUGUUUAUAACUAACUUGGAAAGUGGUUUAAAUUCUUCUUCACUAUUAGAUUUCUUAUUGUUUUGAUUAUUUCUUUUGUGAUUGUUGUUGAUUUAUCUGGUAAAUAAGGGUGAGAAUAGAUUAGGUCGAUCUUUCUAAUUAAAAGGUUAAAUUCAAACUCUUUUAAAAAUUUA
Molecule: long non-coding RNA, 740 nt
Filed under: Glycine max (soybean)
Lineage: Eukaryota; Viridiplantae; Streptophyta; Magnoliopsida; Fabales; Fabaceae
Description: long non-coding RNA (GMAX_LNC000808)
Source: RNAcentral